RNAcentral lists this transfer RNA (71 nucleotides) under Camelus bactrianus (Bactrian camel). It matches the Rfam family "tRNA". From Rfam's summary of the family: Transfer RNA (tRNA) molecules are approximately 80 nucleotides in length. The record is from Rfam by way of RNAcentral. RNAcentral also lists the same sequence under 2 other names. Lineage: Eukaryota; Metazoa; Chordata; Mammalia; Artiodactyla; Camelidae.
GAGGGUAUAACUCAAUGGUAGAGCGCAUGCUUAGUGUGCAUGAGGUCCUGGGUUCAAUCCCCAAAACUUCG